UACGGAGGGUGCAAGCGUUUAAUCGGAAUUACUGGGCGUAAAGCGCACGCAGGCGGUCUGUCAAGUCGGAUGUGAAAUCCCCGGGCUCAACCUGGGAACUGCAUCCGAAACUGGCAGGCUAGAGUCUUGUAGAGGGGGGUAGAAUUCCAGGUGUAGCGGUGAAAUGCGUAGAGAUCUGGAGGAAUACCGGUGGCGAAGGCGGCCCCCUGGACAAAGACUGACGCUCAGGUGCGAAAGCGUGGGGAGCAAACAGG
RNAcentral lists this ribosomal RNA (254 nucleotides) under uncultured bacterium. RNAcentral's name for it is "partial 16S ribosomal RNA". It matches the Rfam family "Bacterial small subunit ribosomal RNA", at positions 524 to 776 of the family's 1533-position model. The record is from RNAcentral.